Molecule: ribosomal RNA, 1190 nt
Filed under: Haptophyta environmental samples
Lineage: Eukaryota; Haptophyta
Description: SSU rRNA
Rfam family: Eukaryotic small subunit ribosomal RNA
Source: RNAcentral
AGCAGGCGCGUAAAUUGCCCGAAUCCUGACAUAGGGAGGUAGUGACAAGAAAUAACAAUACAGGGCUCUCUGAGUCUUGUAAUUGGAAUGAGUACAAUUUACAUCUCUUCACGAGGAUCAAUUGGAGGGCAAGUCUGGUGCCAGCAGCCGCGGUAAUUCCAGCUCCAAUAGCGUAUAUUAAAGUUGUUGCAGUUAGAACGCUCGUAGUCGGAUUUCGGGGCGGGACGACCGGUCUGCCGAUGGGUAUGCACUGGUGGUCGCGUCCUUCCUUCCGGAGACCGUGCCUACUCUUAACUGAGCGGGUGCGGGAGACGGAUCGUUUACUUUGAAAAAAUCAGAGUGUUUCAAGCAGGCAGCUCGCUCCUGCAUGGAAUAGCAUGGGAUAAUGAAAUAGGACUUUGGUGCUAUUUUGUUGGUUUCGAACACCGAAGUAAUGAUUAACAGGGACAGUCAGGGGCACUCGUAUUCCGCCGAGAGAGGUGAAAUUCUCAGACCAGCGGAAGACGAACUACUGCGGAAGCAUUUGCCAGGGAUGUUUUCACUGAUCAAGAACGAAAGUUAGGGGAUCGAAGAGGAUCAGAUACCCUCGUAGUCUUAACCAUAAACCAUGCCGACUAGGGAUUGGGGGAUGUUCACAUAUUGACUCCCUCAGCACCUUACGGGAAACUAAAGUCUUUGGGUUCCGGGGGGAGUAUGGUCGCAAGGCUGAAACUUAAAGGAAUUGACGGAAGGGCACCACCAGGUGUGGAGCCUGCGGCUUAAUUUGACUCAACACGGGGAAACUUACCAGGUCCAGACAUUGUGAGGAUUGACAGAUUGAGAGCUCUUUCUUGAUUCGAUGGGUGGUGGUGCAUGGCCGUUCUUAGUUGGUGGAGUGAUUUGUCUGGGUUAAUUCCGUUAACGAACGAGACCUUAGCCUGCUAAAUAGUGACGCGAACACCUCGUUCGCGGUCCACUUCUUAGAGGGACAACUUGUCUUCAACAAGUGGAAGUUUGAGGCAAUAACAGGUCUGUGAUGCCCUUAGAUGUUCUGGGCCGCACGCGCGCUACACUGAUGCACUCAACGAGUCUCACCUUGACCGAAAGGUCCGGGAAACCUUCGAACUUGCAUCGUGACGGGGAUAGAUUAUUGCAACUAUUAAUCUUCAACGAGGAAUACCUAGUAAGCGCAUGUCAUCAGCGCACGUUGA